Molecule: unclassified non-coding RNA, 904 nt
Filed under: uncultured fungus
Lineage: Eukaryota; Fungi
Description: sequence contains 18S rRNA gene, ITS1, 5.8S rRNA gene, ITS2, 28S rRNA gene
Source: RNAcentral
GUGACGCUGUCGGGGGUUGCGCUCGUCGUGACGACCACGUCGUCUGCCGGCAUCGUCUGUUCGAACUCGAACACGGCAAACGGGUGGAACCCGGUGCCCGCGGCGCUGUCGAGCGCGCCGUCCGCCUGGUAGGCGAGCUUGCGCUGGAGCGAGCGGAGCUUCAACGCGUCCCGGAGGACUUCCGCGCGAGGACGCGCUUCACACUUGUUGGCAUACGCGUUGAGCGUGGCCUCGUGGUUGAACGGCUUGCCCGCCUUGCGCGCCUCGAGAUGGGCGAGCAGCUGUCCAGCCGGGGUACCUUCAGCCGCCUUUGCCUUCUUGAGGCUGUCGAUCAGCCCAUCCCUAAUCUUGACGAGCUUGCGAUCUGCCGGCGCCAGGUCCGGGACCAUCGACAGCAGGUCACAUCGCUCGUUGGAGAACACGGGGCGAGUGAAGUCCACCAUGAUCACGUCACGGAUGAAACCUUCAUCGAUCACCUCGCGCGCCGCGAGCAGCUCGACGUAGGUCGCGUCCUCUUCCGAGCGCUCCACCACCAUGAACGCAUCCGUCAGCUCGGACUUGCCCGGAAUGCCAGGGAUGCGGCUCUUGACGGCGCUGAGCGCGGAGUCGACUUCCUUCUCGUCUUGCAAUCCGAGGAAGCCUGGGAAGAAGGUACUGUUGCGGUUGGCGGCGAAAAGUUGCCUCGGAAUGGCGAACUUGCCGCUCGCGUUGAUGUUGACCUGGACGCUGCAAAACAGCGGCUCGAGCAUGAGCUGGGUCGCUUUCAAUCCCUUCUUGAGCUGGCGAUUCUUGAGGCUGGCGAGCUGCGACGCAUUGAGGUUGUCGUCGCGAAGAAGCGUCCGCGCGCUCUUGAGCGCGGCGUUGGUGACCGUGCUCAAAGACUCGGCCUUGGUCUCGUUCCAGG